This 809-nucleotide ribosomal RNA is filed under the name Kriegeriales sp. ATS-2015. Its description in RNAcentral is "partial large subunit ribosomal RNA". The record is from RNAcentral. Lineage: Eukaryota; Fungi; Basidiomycota; Microbotryomycetes; Kriegeriales.
ACGUCAGAACCGCUACGAGCCUCCACCAGAGUUUCCUCUGGCUUCGCCCUAUUCAGGCAUAGUUCACCAUCUUUCGGGUCCCAACAUACGUGCUCUUACUCAAAUCCAUCUUAAAAAAUCCAGAUCGGUCGAUGGUGCACCUUGCGGAUCCCACCUCCAUUCACUUUCAUUGCGCGUUCGGGUUUGACACCCAAACACUCGCAAGCAUGUUAGACUCCUUGGUCCGUGUUUCAAGACGGGUCGUUUAAAGCCAUUCCACCAGCAUCCUAAGCACGAAAAGCUCGAAAGCCUUGCAAUAAGCGUGCUGCGAUCCUCAGUCCCCAAAGAUGAAUCCAGCUAGAGGCUAUAACACAACCGAGAUUGCUACCUUCCUCUAACCCUUUUCCACCCCCGAAAACUGAUGCUGGCCUGCAAAUUGAAAAGUACACCUUGCGGCUGAAUUCCAAAUAGCAAGUCUGACUUCAAGCGUUUCCCUUCCAACAAUUUCACGUACUGUUAACUCUCUUUCCAAAGUGCUUUUCAUCUUUCCCUCACGGUACUUGUUCGCUAUCGGUCUCUCGCCAAUAUUUAGCUUUAGAUGGAAUUUACCACCCAAUUUGAGCUGCAUUCCCAAACAACUCGACUCUUCGAAAGUGUAUCACAAAGCACCGGGCAUCCGCAUCAGUUACGGGGCUCUCACCACUAUGACGCUGUAUUCCAACAGACUUGUAUGCGGUCCGGCGCGGAAAACACUUCUCGAGAUUACAACUCGGACACCGAAGGUGCCAGAUUACAAAUUUGAGCUCUUCCCGCUUCACUCGCCGUUACUA